RNAcentral lists this ribosomal RNA (253 nucleotides) under uncultured bacterium. RNAcentral's name for it is "partial 16S ribosomal RNA". It matches the Rfam family "Bacterial small subunit ribosomal RNA", at positions 524 to 776 of the family's 1533-position model. The record is from RNAcentral.
GACAGAGGGUGCAAACGUUGUUCGGAAUUACUGGGCGUAAAGCGAGUGUAGGCGGUCUUGUAAGUCGGAUGUGAAAGCCCCGGGCUCAACCCGGGAAGUGCACUCGAUACUGCGAGGCUAGAGUACUGGAGAGGUUGGUGGAAUUCUCGGUGUAGAGGUGAAAUUCGUAGAGAUCGGGUGGAACACCAGUGGCGAAGGCGCCUGUCUGGCUGACAACUGACGCUGAGACUCGAAAGCAUGGGGAGCAAACAGG